CGGCGGACGGGUGAGUAACGCGUGGAUAACCUGCCUCACACUGGGGGAUAACAGUUAGAAAUAGCUGCUAAUACCGCAUAAGCGCACGGUUCCGCAUGGAACAGUGUGAAAAACUCCGGUGGUGUGAGAUGGACCCGCGUCUGAUUAGCCAGUUGGCGGGGUAACGGCCCACCAAAGCGACGAUCAGUAGCCGGCCUGAGAGGGUGAACGGCCACAUUGGGACUGAGACACGGCCCAA
Molecule: ribosomal RNA, 238 nt
Filed under: uncultured bacterium
Lineage: Bacteria
Description: partial 16S ribosomal RNA
Rfam family: Bacterial small subunit ribosomal RNA
Source: RNAcentral